CUAUCAUGCAGUCGACGAACUCUGGUAUUGAUUGGUGCUUGCAUCAUGAUUUACAUUUGAGUGAGUGGCGAACUGGUGAGUAACACGUGGGAAACCUGCCCAGAAGCGGGGGAUAACACCUGGAAACAGAUGCUAAUACCGCAUAACAACUUGGACCGCAUGGUCCGAGCUUGAAAGAUGGCUUCGGCUAUCACUUUUGGAUGGUCCCGCGGCGUAUUAGCUAGAUGGUGGGGUAACGGCUCACCAUGGCAAUGAUACGUAGCCGACCUGAGAGGGUAAUCGGCCACAUUGGGACUGAGACACGGCCCAAACUCCUACGGGAGGCAGCAGUAGGGAAUCUUCCACAAUGGACGAAAGUCUGAUGGAGCAACGCCGCGUGAGUGAAGAAGGGUUUCGGCUCGUAAAACUCUGUUGUUAAAGAAGAACAUAUCUGAGAGUAACUGUUCAGGUAUUGACGGUAUUUAACCAGAAAGCCACGGCUAACUACGUGCCAGCAGCCGCGGUAAUACGUAGGUGGCAAGCGUUGUCCGGAUUUAUUGGGCGUAAAGCGAGCGCAGGCGGUUUUUUAAGUCUGAUGUGAAAGCCUUCGGCUCAACCGAAGAAGUGCAUCGGAAACUGGGAAACUUGAGUGCAGAAGAGGACAGUGGAACUCCAUGUGUAGCGGUGAAAUGCGUAGAUAUAUGGAAGAACACCAGUGGCGAAGGCGGCUGUCUGGUCUGUAACUGACGCUGAGGCUCGAAAGUAUGGGUAGCAAACAGGAUUAGAUACCCUGGUAGUCCAUACCGUAAACGAUGAAUGCUAAGUGUUGGAGGGUUUCCGCCCUUCAGUGCUGCAGCUAACGCAUUAAGCAUUCCGCCUGGGGAGUACGGCCGCAAGGCUGAAACUCAAAGGAAUUGACGGGGGCCCGCCAAGCGGUGGA
Molecule: ribosomal RNA, 919 nt
Filed under: Lactiplantibacillus plantarum
Lineage: Bacteria; Bacillati; Bacillota; Bacilli; Lactobacillales; Lactobacillaceae
Description: bacterial SSU rRNA
Rfam family: Bacterial small subunit ribosomal RNA
Source: RNAcentral